AUUGAACGCUGGCGGCAUGCUUUACACAUGCAAGUCGAACGGUAACAGGCCUUCGGGUGCUGACGAGUGGCGAACGGGUGAGUAAUGCAUCGGAACGUGCCCAGAGGUGGGGGAUAACGCAGCGAAAGCUGUGCUAAUACCGCAUGUGAUCUGAGGAUGAAAGCGGGGGACCAAGCAGCAAUGUUUGGCCUCGCGCCUCUGGAGCGGCCGAUGUCAGAUUAGGUAGUUGGUGGGGUAAAGGCCUACCAAGCCGACGAUCUGUAGCUGGUCUGAGAGGACGACCAGCCACACUGGGACUGAGACACGGCCCAGACUCCUACGGGAGGCAGCAGUGGGAAUUUUGGACAAUGGGCGCAAGCCUGAUCCAGCAAUGCCGCGUGCGGGAAGAAGGCCUUCGGGUUGUAAACCGCUUUUGUACGGAACGAAAAGGCUCUGGCUAAUACCUGGGGCUGAUGACGGUACCGUAAGAAUAAGCACCGGCUAACUACGUG
This 491-nucleotide ribosomal RNA is filed under the name uncultured bacterium. RNAcentral's name for it is "bacterial SSU rRNA". It matches the Rfam family "Bacterial small subunit ribosomal RNA", at positions 30 to 507 of the family's 1533-position model. The record is from RNAcentral.